CCAGUCGGCCGGACGGCCGCUCCCGCGAGAGCUCAGGUUCUUUUGGGGGAGGAAAGUCCGGGCUCCACGGAAACACGGUGCCGGAUAACGUCCGGCGGGGGCAACCCCAGGGAAAGCGCCACAGAGAUCGAACCGCCCGCCUUCGCCCCUUGGGGCUUCGGCGCGACAGGCCCUCGGGCUUGCCGUGCCGUAGCAGCGCAAGCUGCGAAGGCAGGUAAGGGUGAAAAGGUGCGGUAAGAGCGCACCGCGGACCCGGCAACGGGGACGGCAUGGCAAGCCCCACCGGGAGCAAAACCGAAUAGGGACGAUGCUUUUCGCGCAAGCGGGGAGGGGCCUGUUUCUGGGCCUUGUCGUCCGGGUUGGUUGCUCGAGGCGCGUAGCAAUGCGCGUCCCAGAGGAAUGGCCGUCACGUCGGGGGAGAAAUCUUCCGGCCAUCCAGAACCCGGCUUACAGGCCGGCUGGCACC
This 466-nucleotide RNase P RNA is filed under the name Allobosea sp. PAMC 26642. Its description in RNAcentral is "Bosea sp. PAMC 26642 Bacterial RNase P class A". It matches the Rfam family "Bacterial RNase P class A". From Rfam's summary of the family: Ribonuclease P (RNase P) is a ubiquitous endoribonuclease, found in archaea, bacteria and eukarya as well as chloroplasts and mitochondria. Its best characterised activity is the generation of mature 5'-ends of tRNAs by cleaving the 5'-leader elements of precursor-tRNAs. Lineage: Bacteria; Pseudomonadati; Pseudomonadota; Alphaproteobacteria; Hyphomicrobiales; Alloboseaceae. The record is from Rfam by way of RNAcentral.